Molecule: ribosomal RNA, 253 nt
Filed under: uncultured bacterium
Lineage: Bacteria
Description: partial 16S ribosomal RNA
Rfam family: Bacterial small subunit ribosomal RNA
Source: RNAcentral
UACGGAGGGAGCUAGCGUUGUUCGGAAUUACUGGGCGUAAAGCGCACGUAGGCGGCGCGGCAAGUCAGGGGUGAAAUCCCGGGGCUCAACCUCGGAACUGCCCUUGAAACUGCAGUGCUAGAAUCUUGGAGAGGCGAGUGGAAUUCCGAGUGUAGAGGUGAAAUUCGUAGAUAUUCGGAAGAACACCAGUGGCGAAGGCGACUCGCUGGACAAGUAUUGACGCUGAGGUGCGAAAGCGUGGGGAGCAAACAGG